RNAcentral lists this long non-coding RNA (537 nucleotides) under Dermacentor andersoni. Its description in RNAcentral is "uncharacterized LOC126525185". Lineage: Eukaryota; Metazoa; Arthropoda; Arachnida; Ixodida; Ixodidae. The record is from RNAcentral.
GGAGCUGGAGUUCAUCGGAAGUUCUACAGUGCUUGCGCCAGAAAAACGUCGGUGCCUCGGUACCUUUGAGACGAAGGAGCGUUGGCCAAGUCUUUUUGAAAGGCUAUGCGGAUUCUGGAGGCAUCCCUACAUCAAGCAGGAACCUGCUGCACUGCUGGAAGCUGGACAGCACGACAAUAAAGCACGUGAUCUGUGUGCUUUCUCAAAGGUAGACAUCGGCGACGGUGUAUAUGUUGAAAAGUGCCUGCUGAAGAGGCUGCGCCUGGAUGCUAACAACUCAGGCUUUCAGUUCGCGGGGGGCCUCCUUAACGCUCCUUUUACAAAAGAAGAGGUUGAAGGGAGGCGCUACACAUGGAUGCGCAGCGAUUGUUUGUGACAUCGUCACUGCUGGCAGGCCUGGCCUGCCUUUUCGCUUCGUUCUGGGUCUUCCACGUUAUCUACUCGAAAAGGCCCACAGGGUUUUGACAUUUAUUGAGCACUGCUUUCUGGAUUUGAGCUACACAAAGCUGCAGGUGAAAGCAUUGGAUUUAGUCAAUA